This 413-nucleotide long non-coding RNA is filed under the name Pongo abelii (Sumatran orangutan). RNAcentral describes it as "lincRNA". Lineage: Eukaryota; Metazoa; Chordata; Mammalia; Primates; Hominidae. The record is from RNAcentral.
GCGGGUCGCUCUCACUUGUCCCUGGACCGCAGCCGCGGCAUAAGUGGUGCCCAACGCUGGGCCUGGGUGUGGCCGGAAGCAGAGACCGCUCUGACUACACACCCACCCCUCAAAGGCUUCUGGGAGUCGCGCAGGCGCAGCGGCAGGCCGGGUCUCCUGGCCUCAGUGAUGGAAUUAAGAUGACUCCUAUCUCUGAAUCCAAGGGUGACUGAAAGCCACAAGCUGCAGAAAGGACAAGAGGCAUCACCUAUGUGGAUAAAGACAGCAUCCUUAGUUGAUGGAGAAAUGGCAUAGAAGGAAUUAGGUCCGUUAAUGACAUCAUGGAGCAGAGCUGUCUUCUUGCCUUGACCUGCCACCUACCUACAUGGGAAGCUGUUACUUGAGAAGGCAAUAAAAUCUAUCUUCUUCAUUGA